Molecule: ribosomal RNA, 330 nt
Filed under: uncultured Lysinibacillus sp.
Lineage: Bacteria; Bacillati; Bacillota; Bacilli; Caryophanales; Bacillaceae
Description: bacterial SSU rRNA
Rfam family: Bacterial small subunit ribosomal RNA
Source: RNAcentral
GUAGGGAAUCUUCCACAAUGGGCGAAAGCCUGAUGGAGCAACGCCGCGUGAGUGAAGAAGGAUUUCGGUUCGUAAAACUCUGUUGUAAGGGAAGAACAAGUACAGUAGUAACUGGCUGUACCUUGACGGUACCUUAUUAGAAAGCCACGGCUAACUACGUGCCAGCAGCCGCGGUAAUACGUAGGUGGCAAGCGUUGUCCGGAAUUAUUGGGCGUAAAGCGCGCGCAGGUGGUUUCUUAAGUCUGAUGUGAAAGCCCACGGCUCAACCGUGGAGGGUCAUUGGAAACUGGGAGACUUGAGUGCAGAAGAGGAUAGUGGAAUUCCAAGUGA